RNAcentral lists this ribosomal RNA (352 nucleotides) under Enapteris sp. USNM IZ 1240265. Its description in RNAcentral is "partial large subunit ribosomal RNA". Lineage: Eukaryota; Metazoa; Annelida; Polychaeta; Phyllodocida; Tomopteridae. The record is from RNAcentral.
GCAUAAUAAUUAGUCUUUUAAUUGGUGACUGGAAUGAAUGAAUUUAUAAAAUUAAUACUUUAUUUAUUUUAUAUAUAAAAUUUAAUUUUUAAGUGAAGAAGCUUAUAUUAUUAUAUGGGACAAGAAGACCCUAAUGAUCUUUAUUUUUAUAAAUUUAUAUUUAAUAAUUGUUUAUUAAAAUAAAAUUUUAUAAAAAUUUUACUGGGGCGGUAAUAUUAUAGUUUAAUUUUUAAACUUAUAUUUUUAAAAAGAUAUUAAUCUAUAUUUAUGAUCCUAAUUUAUGAUUAAUUGAAAAAGAUACCAUAGGGAUAACAGGCUAAUUAUUUUAGAUAGUUUAUAUUGAAAAAAUAGA